Long non-coding RNA from Callithrix jacchus (white-tufted-ear marmoset), 531 nucleotides. NCBI's taxonomy places the organism in Eukaryota, Metazoa, Chordata, Mammalia, Primates, Cebidae. The record is from Ensembl.
AACAAAUUGGGCUGGGACAAAAGUAUGGGCGGCGUCCGCCUGCAGAGGGGACCAAGUAUAAACACUUUUUUUUUUUUUUAACAGAGUGGGGAAUCAUAUGUGCUGGAAACGUCCUUGCUCCACCAGCCGGAGGCCAGGAAGCGAGCGCCAAAUGCUGUUUACAGGACAGCUCUUAUUUCAGGAAUGAAGACUAAGGCUCAGCAGGUAGGAGGCCUUGAGAACAAGCACCGAAUUUCCAAGAAGCCCACGCUGCGACGGAGCUGCAGAGUGCUUGGCUCAGGGAACUCAUUGGAUAAUGAGACAGGAGACGCUUGCGAUGUUGUAAUAAACCCAUGCAAACUCAUCUACAUUAACAGGGGCACCAGCUUACUAUGCUGGGGAAGAUUUGAAGAUCAAGAGUUAGGCAAAACCGAGUUGAAAUCUCAGAUAAAUGACUUCGGAGCAAGAAAACUUUUCCUAGAGGGCUCCUCUCACAAACAGAGUUGGGGCCACAGUCUCAUUCUAAACCAAUCACUGACAAAAGAGGAUUGA